Molecule: ribosomal RNA, 1167 nt
Filed under: uncultured bacterium
Lineage: Bacteria
Description: bacterial SSU rRNA
Rfam family: Bacterial small subunit ribosomal RNA
Source: RNAcentral
CGAAAGGAUUGCUAAUACCGCAUGUGGUCAUUGGAUUUAGAAACCGAUGUCUAAAGGAGCAAUCCGCUUUGGGAGGGACCUGCGUCCCAUCAGCUAGUUGGUGAGGUAACGGCCCACCAAGGCGACGACGGGUAGGGGACCUGAGAGGGUGGCCCCCCACAAUGGAACUGAAAUACGGUCCAUACACCUACGGGUGGCAGCAGUAGGGAAUAUUGGGCAAUGGGCGAAAGCCUGACCCAGCAACGCCGCGUGUGUGAUGAAGGCCUUCGGGUCGUAAAGCACUUUUCUGGGAGAUGAGAAAGGACAGUAUCCCAGGAAUAAGUCUCGGCUAACUACGUGCCAGCAGCCGCGGUAAAACGUAGGAGGCGAGCGUUAUCCGGAUUCACUGGGCGUAAAGCGCGUGCAGGUGGCGCGGUAAGUUGGGCGUGAAAUCUCCCGGCUCAACUGGGAGAGGUCGUCCAAUACUACCGUGCUUGAGAGCAGAAGAGGAAGAUGGAAUUCCCGGUGUAGUGGUGAAAUGCGUAGAUAUCGGGAGGAACACCAGUGGCGAAGGCGAUCUUCUGGUCUGUUUCUGACACUCAGACGCGACAGCUAGGGUAGUAAACGGGAUUAGAGACCCCGGUAAUCCUAGCCGUAAACGAUGUGAACUUGGCGUUGGUGGGUUAAACUCCAUCAGUGCCGUAGCAAACGCGAUAAGUUCACCGCCUGGGGACUACGGCCGCAAGGUUAAAACUCAAAGGAAUUGACGGGGGCCCGCACAAGCAGCGGAGCGUGUGGUUUAAUUCGAUGCUACACGAAGAACCUUACCCAGGCUUGACAUAUAGGUGGUAGAGAUCCGAAAGGUGACCGACCCGCAAGGGAGCCUGUACAGGUGUUGCAUGGCUGUCGUCAGCUCGUGUCGUGAGAUGUUCGGUUAAGUCCGCUAACGAGCGCAACCCUCGCUGCGUGUUACAAGUGUCACGCAGGACCGCCGGUAUUAAGCCGGAGGAAGGUGGGGAUGACGUCAAGUCAGCAUGGCCUUUAUGCCUGGGGCUACACACACGCUACAAUGGGCAGUACAAUGGGUUGCUAAGCCGCGAGGUGGAGCCAAUCCCCCAAAACUGUCCUCAGUUCAGAUUGCAGGCUGCAACUCGCCUGCAUGAAGCCGGAGUUGCUAGUAAACGUGCG